This 482-nucleotide ribosomal RNA is filed under the name uncultured bacterium. RNAcentral's name for it is "partial 16S ribosomal RNA". It matches the Rfam family "Bacterial small subunit ribosomal RNA", at positions 30 to 507 of the family's 1533-position model. The record is from RNAcentral.
AUUGAACGCUGGCGGCAUGCUUUACACAUGCAAGUCGAACGGUAACAGGCCGCCAGGUGCUGACGAGUGGCGAACGGGUGAGUAAUGCAUCGGAACGUGCCCAGUCGUGGGGGAUAACUACUCGAAAGAGUAGCUAAUACCGCAUACGAUCUAUGGAUGAAAGCGGGGGCCCGUAAGGCCUCGCGCGAUUGGAGCGGCCGAUGUCAGAUUAGGUAGUUGGUGGGGUAAAGGCUCACCAAGCCAACGAUCUGUAGCUGGUCUGAGAGGACGACCAGCCACACUGGGACUGAGACACGGCCCAGACUCCUACGGGAGGCAGCAGUGGUGAAUUUUGGACAAAGGGCGCAAGCCUGAUCCAGCAAUGCCGCGUGCAGGAAGAAGGCCUUCGGGUUGUAAACUGCUUUUGUACGGAACGAAACGGCUCUGGUUAAUACCCGGGGCUAAUGACGGUACCGUAAGAAUAAGCACCGGCUAACUACGUG